Molecule: long non-coding RNA, 238 nt
Filed under: Elaeis guineensis (African oil palm)
Lineage: Eukaryota; Viridiplantae; Streptophyta; Magnoliopsida; Arecales; Arecaceae
Description: long non-coding RNA (EGUI_LNC058433)
Source: RNAcentral
AGUAUCAUCAUGAGGUCGGUGAUCGAUCCAGAUAGACCGACACAUAGAUCGCUUCUUUCAGGAUAGAUGAGUCUCUGAUUUAUAGUAUAGAGAUACUGAGCGAUAAAUAUCGAUAGUUGUUAGAGAACAACUAGUACUGAGCUUGACCAUAUGAGGGAUCACUUGAAUUUCUACUCGAUCGUCAGUGAUCAUCUCAAUGCUAUAAUUGUGUGAAUGGUCUUUUAAUCUACAAUGGCAC